This 468-nucleotide ribosomal RNA is filed under the name uncultured bacterium. RNAcentral describes it as "partial 16S ribosomal RNA". It matches the Rfam family "Bacterial small subunit ribosomal RNA", at positions 28 to 507 of the family's 1533-position model. The record is from RNAcentral.
GACGAACGCUGGCGGCGUGCUUAACACAUGCAAGUCGAACGGAAAGGCCCUGCUUUUGUGGGGUGCUCGAGUGGCGAACGGGUGAGUAACACGUGAGUAACCUGCCCUUGACUUUGGGAUAACUUCAGGCAACUGGGGCUAAUACCGGAUAGGAGCUCCUGCUGCAUGGUGGGGGUUGGAAAGUUUCGGCGGUUGGGGAUGGACUCGCGGCUUAUAAGCUUGUUGGUGGGGUAGUGGCUUACCAAGGCUUUGACGGGUAGCCGGCCUGAGAGGGUGACCGGCCACAUUGGGACUGAGAUACGGCCCAGACUCCUACGGGAGGCAGCAGUGGGGAAUAUUGCACAAUGGGCGGAAGCCUGAUGCAGCAACGCCGCGUGCGGGAUGACGGCCUUCGGGUUGUAAACCGCUUUCGCCUGUGACGAAGCGUGAGUGACGGUAAUGGGUAAAGAAGCACCGGCUAACUACGUG